UUUAUUUUGAUUACCUUUUAUUUAAAAACUAUAAAACAUGGUUCGUCAGUGCCAAAUUUGUAAGAAAUUGGACUAUUUAAGUCCUGGAACAACAUUCCACAGAUUAUGCUGCCAAAGUUUCCUGAAUACAAUUCCGACCACUCUGUAUAUCAAGAUAUCCCCCAUUACGUACUAGUUUUUCUUAAUAAUUUUCUAUACAUUUUCCAACGCCAAGAUGUACCAAGCGCAUACAAAUACAUCAAGCUUCAAACAAGCUUGCACGUUGACAGUAAUACCUACAGUAAUAUUGUAUUAUAUUAAUGUAAUAUUUUUGAACCAAUGUUCAAUAUUACUGUAGUAAUACUGUUUAUACUCAUGCCUUUUAUAUUUGUUUGAAUUUGGUGCAUAUUUCCAUUGAAUAAAGUAUAGUCACCAUUACCAUUAUUAUACUUACUCUAUAAUAAAGACAGUAACGAGUUAAA
This is a long non-coding RNA of Sitophilus oryzae (rice weevil), 461 nucleotides long. RefSeq lists it as uncharacterized. NCBI's taxonomy places the organism in Eukaryota, Metazoa, Arthropoda, Insecta, Coleoptera, Curculionidae. The transcript is spliced from 2 exons. The record is from RefSeq and is a predicted model, not a curated record.